GUAAGUGUGUAUAAACUUAUAUAAAACAUAAAUGUUUUGCAGGAACUCACUGUUCACUAGUAGUUGAAAGCUGCAGCAGUUCUGCAUUCAAAAUAUAUGAUAAGAAGUCCAGCCACUCAAAGGAAUGAAGUGGUGCUGUGGUGAAUGGCAGAUAAUAGCACAAUCAGAAGGCACUAAAUAUGAAGGCAUCAAAUUUUUGUCUCACUUCCGUUUUCCACUGAGGGAGGAGGCUAUGGUUCACGGUUGAUUUGUAAGGUGUUUUCUGCAGAGUGUAGGGAACGUCCAGUCAAGGUAAAUUUAUAUGGAGCAUGUAGUGAUAAUAAGGAUUGCAAAAGAAAUUAUUUGGCACCUGUGGCGGACAGAUGAGUGAACUUUUGCCUUGAACAUUUCUUGGUACAUAAGGUGCAAGCAAACCAAAACCCCAAACAAGCCAUCUGUUCCCAGCGGAAACAGGACUGAGCUGCUGCGACCCCUCCCGCGACCAUGCGGGACACACCGAGCCUGCGCUGAACCGGACCAUGAUUGGACAGAGACUUUGGGACCUGGACUGCAAAUUACUGCCGCUUAACACAACUUUUAUAAAACUUGCUUAGCCGCACUCCCUAGUUCAGUGAGAAAGGGCCCCAGAGCUGGUGCAGACUGGAAAGAUAAGGGAGUUACAAGCAGUCUGCAUUCCUAUGCGUCACACUCCAGGAGGGAGGAUGUCAAGGCUUUGAAAUAAGGCCUGCUUGGGCGCCAGGACCCUGGGAAACAAAGCCUCCCCUCACUGCUGAAACAGUGUUAAUU
Dromaius novaehollandiae (emu) is the source of this 786-nucleotide long non-coding RNA. RefSeq lists it as uncharacterized. Lineage: Eukaryota; Metazoa; Chordata; Aves; Casuariiformes; Dromaiidae. The record is from RefSeq and is a predicted model, not a curated record. The transcript has 3 exons.